This 264-nucleotide ribosomal RNA is filed under the name uncultured Glomus. RNAcentral describes it as "partial 18S ribosomal RNA". It matches the Rfam family "Eukaryotic small subunit ribosomal RNA", at positions 619 to 888 of the family's 1831-position model. Lineage: Eukaryota; Fungi; Glomeromycota; Glomeromycetes; Glomerales; Glomeraceae. The record is from RNAcentral.
UUAAAAAGCUCGUAGUUGAAUUUCGAGAUCGGCUUACUGGUCGUGCUUUUGUACGUACUGGUAUAAUCGGUUUCUCCUUUCUGACGAACUAUAAUGCCAUUAAUUUGGUGUUAUAGGGAAUCAGGACUGUUACUUUGAGAAAAUUAGAGUGUUUAAAGCAGGCUCACGCUUGAAUACAUUAGCAUGGAAUAACGGAAUAGGACGUUUGAUUCUAUUUUGUUGGUUUCUAGGAUCGACGUAAUGAUUAAUAGGGAUAGUAGGGGG